CCUCUUGCUAAACCAAAAGUAUAAGAGGUCCCGCCUGCCCUGUGACUAUAUGUUUAACGGCCGCGGUAUUUUGACCGUGCGAAGGUAGCGCAAUCACUUGUCUUUUAAAUGGGGACCUGUAUGAAUGGCAUAACGAGGGCUUGACUGUCUCCUCUUUCAAGUCAAUGAAAUUGAUCUCCCCGUGCAGAAGCGGGGAUAAAUACAUAAGACGAGAAGACCCUAUGGAGCUUUAGACACUAAAGCAGAUCAGCAUUAAUACCCUAAAUACAGGGCACGAAUAAACUGAACACCGCCCUAAUGUCUUAGGUUGGGGCGACCGCGGAGAAAUAAAAAACCCCCGCAAGGACCGAAUGUACUACAUUCACAACCAAGAGCGACAGCUCUAACUAACAGAUAUUUCUGACCAAUAAGAUCCGGCAACGCCGAUCAAUGGACCAAGUUACCCUAGGGAUAACAGCGCAAUCUCCUCUAAGAGCCCGUAUCUACGAGGAGGUUUACGACCUCGAUGUUGGAUCAGGACAUCCUAAUGGUGCAGCCGCUAUUAAGGGUUCGUUUGUUCAACGAUUAAAGUCCUACGUGAUCUGAG
RNAcentral lists this ribosomal RNA (586 nucleotides) under Epinephelus guttatus (red hind). Its description in RNAcentral is "partial 16S ribosomal RNA". It matches the Rfam family "Bacterial large subunit ribosomal RNA", at positions 1819 to 2609 of the family's 2925-position model. Lineage: Eukaryota; Metazoa; Chordata; Actinopteri; Perciformes; Serranidae. The record is from RNAcentral.